RNAcentral lists this ribosomal RNA (47 nucleotides) under Cordyceps sp. RNAcentral's name for it is "partial 28S ribosomal RNA". Lineage: Eukaryota; Fungi; Ascomycota; Sordariomycetes; Hypocreales; Cordycipitaceae. The record is from RNAcentral.
CGUUGACCUCGAAUCAGGUAGGACUACCCGCUGAACUUAAGCAUAUC